UCUCUCUGAAUCUGCGUACGGCUCCGCAAACCAGUUGUAAACUAUAGCAAGCAAGCACGGGGGACCAGCCUUCACGGGUCGGGCCCUCGGGCGAUACGGAUAACCCUGGUAAUUCUGAGGCUAAUACGAGAACGUAACACCUGGUUGACCGAGCCCUCGUCCUCGUGGUGGGGAUACUUGGGAUGCUGGGAAGCGUGCGAGUACUAAUGCGAAGAAAAACCGGGAACGGGCGCACGCUUGGACCGCGCUACAAAAGGAUCAGGUCUCGGCUAUCCCUCCGGGGUGCGCCUUGGCUUGGCCCUAGCGGCUCUUGCGGUGUGCUUCUGACCUAUCAACUAGACGGCAGCGUAACGGACAUGCUAUGGUUACAACGGGUACAGAGGAUUAGGGUUCGAUCCUGGAGAGUGGGCCUGAGAGAUCUCC
RNAcentral lists this ribosomal RNA (423 nucleotides) under uncultured myxomycete. RNAcentral's name for it is "bacterial SSU rRNA". It matches the Rfam family "Eukaryotic small subunit ribosomal RNA", at positions 76 to 408 of the family's 1831-position model. Lineage: Eukaryota; Evosea; Eumycetozoa. The record is from RNAcentral.